This is a non-coding RNA of Seriola dumerili (greater amberjack), 449 nucleotides long. NCBI's taxonomy places the organism in Eukaryota, Metazoa, Chordata, Actinopteri, Carangiformes, Carangidae. The record is from the annotation of a RefSeq genome assembly.
GAGGCCAGUGUUGAUCAGUGGCUGUCCAGGCCUUUCAGAGCCACUGACACGCCGGCAGCACAAUGAUGAUGUCUCUGACUCUACUGCUGGCCACCCUGGGGCUCCUUGUUCAGGGUUCAUCAGGAGAAAUCACUGUGACUCAGUCUCCUGGAUCUCAGUCUGUUGUUCCAGGACAGACUGUCUCUAUCAGAUGUCAAACCAGUUCAGAUGUUAGUAGCUUCCUCAACUGGUACCUUCAGAAACCUGGAGAAGCUCCUAAACUCCUGAUUUAUGGUGAUACAACCCGUGAAUCUGGAGUUCCAGAUCGUUUUAGUGGAAGUGGAACUGACCCUGACUUCACUCUGACCAUCAGUGGAGUUCAGGCUGAAGAUUCAGGAGUUUACUACUGUCAGAGUGCACAUGUUAUCAACAGUCUGUGGGUGUUCACACAGUGAAAAAGCGUCGUACAA